UCAACAAAGACCAUGGCAACAUUAUUAUAACAUGCACAGCAGACUAAACUCUUGUCUCGUGCCAAGUGAAAUAUUGUCAGACCUUCUAUGUUUGAAUCUUGAAAAGCUAUCAUCUCCUCAGAGAAAUGAUAGGAUACACUAUAUUUUAAAAUAUUUGGACUUGGAGUGAAAAGAAUCACAGAAUUAAGUCUAUGACAGUUGAUCUAUAUAGUAUUGCAAAAUCUGUGCAUGCAAGUUCUUUCUAAGGUCAGCGAGCGGAAAAGAAAAAAAAAAAAAAAAGCCUGCAUCACAUUCAUCACACAUGCGUGUGAACGUUAUUUUCCUGCGCAUCUGACCAUAGUUGCUUGCGUCAAUCCACAUUGUGUUGACAUGUUUUGAGUGAUGCAGGUUGCCACUGCAAUGCACGAUAUCAGGGUCUUCAAAGCCGAAAAGCAACAAAACCCCACCAUAAAGAUGAGGGGGGGGGAGGGAGGGGGAAUCAAGCUGACAAAGGGCUUCCUGUCGGUAAGACGCAAUACAGUAAGCUUUCCUGUCAGCGUGCUUGUUAAAGAGAGGGAGAGAGAGAAAGAGGGGCACACAGACAGAGAAAGCAGAGGGGUGGGGCUGGAGCAGUAGAGAGGAGUGAACUGCUAUAAACUUUGACUCCUGGCCUCCCUCCAGAGGGAGCAGUAUUUUAAUGGUUGUGCUACGUGCAGAGCGUGAGGAAGGUUGGCUGAUCCUCGGCUAUGUCACCCCUCCCACCCUUAACUGCUCGGCUCACGCUACAAGGCUGGAGAUGGGUAAACAGUCUCUGUUUGGAAAAGUGUGCUUUUGCUGACUGAGAUGUGUGAAGUUGGUAUGUGUGUGUGUUUGUGGGGGGGCUGACUGAAAGUGCGAGAGCCUUGGCACUUUGCAAAACCCUGGACACAGCAGUUUCCUUAGACUGGGCAAGUGUCGAGACUCUAUAAAAGUUUAUCUACUGCAGGAAAGCUGAAGUCCAGCACAAGCUCAAUUAUGCACCUGUGAGCAUGCCAGAGGAAAGUGAGGGACUGACCAAAGCCUGCGACUCCCCUCUCGUCAGUUAGAAUGGAAAAGGCCUUUUGAUGAGAGGUGAAACGUCUUCAAGAAACUCAAGCAAGUCCAGUUGCCUACGAUAUAAGAAUUACCAUGACCAGGAUGACUGACCUCACGCUGUCACUCUGCCACCUCCAUCAGUCACACAAUAAAUGCUGCGAACAGUCAAAAACAGAAGACCUCUUUAUCAAAGCCCCACUUGGAUCCUGGCCAGGUGCUCCUUGGACAGUCACAGCAUAGUCAGCCAAGAGAUACACAAGUUUGAAGCUAUUCUUUG
Non-coding RNA from Epinephelus lanceolatus (giant grouper), 1330 nucleotides. The record is from RefSeq and is a predicted model, not a curated record. NCBI's taxonomy places the organism in Eukaryota, Metazoa, Chordata, Actinopteri, Perciformes, Serranidae.